UACGGGGGGUGCAAGCGUUGUUCGGAAUUACUGGGCGUAAAGCGCACGUAGGCGGAUUCGUAAGUCAAUUGUGAAAGCCCUGGGCUUAACCUAGGAAUUGCAGUUGAAACUGCGAACCUUGAAUACUUGAGAGGAUGACGGAAUUCCUGGUGUAGAAGUGAAAUUCGUAGAUAUCAGGAGGAACACCCGAGGCGAAGGCGGUUAUCUGGCAAGCUAUUGACGCUGAGGUGCGAAAGCGUGGGGAGCAAACAGG
This 253-nucleotide ribosomal RNA is filed under the name uncultured bacterium. RNAcentral describes it as "partial 16S ribosomal RNA". It matches the Rfam family "Bacterial small subunit ribosomal RNA", at positions 524 to 776 of the family's 1533-position model. The record is from RNAcentral.